GGAGGGGGGGAUCUUAGGACCUCCCGCUACAGGGGCGGCCGAUGGCAGAUUAGCUAGUUGGUGGGGUAAAGGCCUACCAAGGCGACGAUCUGUAGCUGGUCUGAGAGGACGACCAGCCACACUGGGACUGAGACACGGCCCAGACUCCUACGGGAGGCAGCAGUGGGGAAUUUUGGACAAUGGGGGAAACCCUGAUCCAGCAAUGCCGCGUGUGUGAAGAAGGCCUUCGGGUUGUAAAGCACUUUUGUCCGGAAAGAAAUCCUCUGCGCUAAUACCGAGGGGGGAUGACGGUACCGGAAGAAUAAGCACCGGCUAACUACGUGCCAGCAGCCGCGGUAAUACGUAGGGUGCAAGCGUUAAUCGGAAUUACUGGGCGUAAAGCGUGCGCAGGCGGUUCGCUAAGACAGAUGUGAAAUCCCCGGGCUUAACCUGGGAACUGCAUUUGUGACUGGCGGG
RNAcentral lists this ribosomal RNA (456 nucleotides) under uncultured Burkholderia sp. RNAcentral describes it as "bacterial SSU rRNA". It matches the Rfam family "Bacterial small subunit ribosomal RNA", at positions 201 to 640 of the family's 1533-position model. Lineage: Bacteria; Pseudomonadati; Pseudomonadota; Betaproteobacteria; Burkholderiales; Burkholderiaceae. The record is from RNAcentral.